CAAUUCACAAUAUUAAUCGACCAGGUCGUUCCCAGGAAAGAGGGGGCCUUCCGGUAAGGAUUUUUCCUCACUGGCGCGCAAUUACCUAACCUCUCCUUGACAGAACUUCUAGACAUCGUUAAUAUUGUAAAUAAUAAUAUUAAUAACUUUGUCAUCUCAAUUAUUGAUUUAAAAUAUAUGAAAAUAUUGACAAUAAUUGAAUCAACUAACGUGAGAUACUAUGCAGCAAAUACUGUAGAAAUAAUUGAACAAAACUGAGUGACUUCUCACGAAAGCAUCAAUAAUCAAUACCGUGUGCUACUAUGCAACCACGCGUAUUACUGUACUUUUACUACUGGGUAGUUCAACAGUAUUAACGGUAAAACUUUCGCCAUUAUUUUCAUAAAAAUAUAUUUUGUCGUGUUCUCAAUCCGACAAUAAUUCCGUUGUGGGGUCCUCCAAUGAUUGUACCGUCGUACGGAUAUUCUCCGACAAAAAUAAUAUUCACCGACCAAUCGAAUAUUAUUUAUCCACUUGCGUACUUUGCAAAAUUUAUAAAUCUUACCCACAACUAUAACAUUAUAUCAAAUUUACUCCAUAAUAUUCAAAAAUAAUAUUUAUAGAAAAUUCAUCUUUAUUCAUAAAAGUUAGGGUCUUACAAUAUAUAUGCUCUAUGACAUGCCAACUACACGAUUGGACCAUGAGAACACAUGAAUCAGGAUAUGAACCUAGAUUAAAUCGAGCUACAAAGUGUCCACUCGUACUGCUGGGUUUCUGGGAAAACCCAGAAUCACUCUGACAAGUACUUUGGAGACACAGAUCUCCUUGAUACGUUGUUGUAUGACCAAGCUAAGUAUUGUAACUUGUAGAGUUACAUACACAUUACAAGAUCUGAGUCUUAUAUUGAACAGAACAUGUAUGGAUUAAGAAUUAAAGGCAGUCAAACGUGACCCCUUGAAACACUGAUUGUCAGUGUUCUUGAGGCCAAGAACACCCAAGACGACAGAAAGUGUCGCUAAAGGCCCAGCGACG
This 1011-nucleotide long non-coding RNA is filed under the name Panax ginseng (ginseng). RNAcentral's name for it is "long non-coding RNA (PGIN_LNC019202)". The record is from RNAcentral. Lineage: Eukaryota; Viridiplantae; Streptophyta; Magnoliopsida; Apiales; Araliaceae.